Molecule: ribosomal RNA, 253 nt
Filed under: uncultured bacterium
Lineage: Bacteria
Description: partial 16S ribosomal RNA
Rfam family: Bacterial small subunit ribosomal RNA
Source: RNAcentral
UACGGAGGGUGCAAGCGUUAUCCGGAUUCACUGGGUUUAAAGGGUGCGUAGGUGGGCAGGUAAGUCAGUGGUGAAAUCUCCGGGCUUAACCCGGAAACUGCCAUUGAUACUAUCAGUCUUGAAUACCGUGGAGGUAAGCGGAAUAUGUCAUGUAGCGGUGAAAUGCUUAGAUAUGACAUAGAACACCCAUUGCGAAGGCAGCUCACUACGGGAAUAUUGACACUGAGGCACGAAAGCGUGGGGAUCAAACAGG